Molecule: ribosomal RNA, 406 nt
Filed under: uncultured bacterium
Lineage: Bacteria
Description: partial 16S ribosomal RNA
Rfam family: Bacterial small subunit ribosomal RNA
Source: RNAcentral
AUUGAACGCUGGCGGCAUGCCUAACACAUGCAAGUCGAACGAGUGGCGGACGGGUGAGUCAUGUAUGGGAAACUGCCUGAUGGAGGGGGAUAACUACUGGAAACGGUAGCUAAUACCGCAUACCAUCAGAUGUGCCCAGAUGGGAUUAGCUAGUUGGUGGGGUAACGGCUCACCAAGGCUACGAUCCAUAGCUGGUUGGAGAGGAGGACCAGCCACACUGGGACUGAGACACGGUCCAGACUCCUACGGGAGGCAGCAGUGGGGAAUAUUGGACAAUGGGGGAAAGCCUGAUGCAGCCAUGCCGCGUGUAUGAAGAAGGCCUUCGGGUUGUAAAGUACUUUCGGCGGGGAGGCGUUACCUGCAGAAGAAGCACCGGCUAACUCCGUGCCAGCAGCCGCGGUAAUAC